GGUGCUGUGGCUCAAUUGGUAGAGUGCUAGCCUUGAGCUGAAGAGCUAGAGACAGCGCCU
RNAcentral lists this transfer RNA (60 nucleotides) under Dipodomys ordii (Ord's kangaroo rat). The record is from Rfam by way of RNAcentral. Lineage: Eukaryota; Metazoa; Chordata; Mammalia; Rodentia; Heteromyidae.